CACACAUGUAAAUGAGUCUUCAUUCAAUACAAUUAUAGCAUGGAUAAUAAACGAUUAUCUUGAUACAGGAAUUAUAAUAAUAACUAUAUUUAUUAUUGCCUCUAGGGCAUAAUUCCAACAGUCUUGGAGAAAACCUAUUCUGGACAAAAACAUGAGGCUAGUAUCACAUGCACUUGAAAUCAUCCAAUGGUGCUUAACUCCCGGGGUUAAGGUUUUGGUAGGGUGCCAUACAAGCAUGAAAAAUAUAAAGCAAAUAGAGGAAGGAAAAAUAUGGUUGUAGUGCAAUGUACCAAGUUGGACCAGAACAGAAAGAUGGUUGUUAUGCUAAAUUUUUACAAAGCACAAGGUUGGGUUUUUCCAUAGAAGUGAAUCUCAUGCAUCACUUGACGUCCCCAAUUUUUUAUGGAAUUUUUGAAAUAUUAUUUUUAGGGGUUGUAGUACAAACUCAAAUCUAGACCAGAUUAGAAAAGUAGUUAAUGUGGCAAAAUUUGUCAAAAUACUUGCCUAAGUUUUUCAAAAAUAUGAUCCAG
Molecule: long non-coding RNA, 530 nt
Filed under: Hordeum vulgare
Lineage: Eukaryota; Viridiplantae; Streptophyta; Magnoliopsida; Poales; Poaceae
Description: long non-coding RNA (HVUL_LNC009637)
Source: RNAcentral